Molecule: transfer RNA, 68 nt
Filed under: Mico argentatus (silvery marmoset)
Lineage: Eukaryota; Metazoa; Chordata; Mammalia; Primates; Cebidae
Description: tRNA-Val
Rfam family: tRNA
About the family: Transfer RNA (tRNA) molecules are approximately 80 nucleotides in length. Their secondary structure includes four short double-helical elements and three loops (D, anti-codon, and T loops).
Source: RNAcentral
CAAAACGUAGCUUAAAUUAAAGCAUCCGGCUUACACCCGGAAGAUCUCAUAACAAAUGAUCGUUUUGA